This 465-nucleotide ribosomal RNA is filed under the name uncultured Klebsiella sp. RNAcentral describes it as "bacterial SSU rRNA". It matches the Rfam family "Bacterial small subunit ribosomal RNA", at positions 338 to 795 of the family's 1533-position model. The record is from RNAcentral. Lineage: Bacteria; Pseudomonadati; Pseudomonadota; Gammaproteobacteria; Enterobacterales; Enterobacteriaceae.
CCUACGGGUGGCUGCAGUGGGGAAUAUUGCACAAUGGGCGCAAGCCUGAUGCAGCCAUGCCGCGUGUGUGAAGAAGGCCUUCAGGUUGUAAAGCACUUUCAGCGGGGAGGAAGGCGGUGAGGUUAAUAACCUCAUCGAUUGACGUUACCCGCAGAAGAAGCACCGGCUAACUCCGUGCCAGCAGCCGCGGUAAUACGGAGGGUGCAAGCGUUAAUCGGAAUUACUGGGCGUAAAGCGCACGCAGGCGGUCUGUCAAGUCGGAUGUGAAAUCCCCGGGCUCAACCUGGGAACUGCAUUCGAAACUGGCAGGCUAGAGUCUUGUAGAGGGGGGUAGAAUUCCAGGUGUAGCGGUGAAAUGCGUAGAGAUCUGGAGGAAUACCGGUGGCGAAGGCGGCCCCCUGGACAAAGACUGACGCUCAGGUGCGAAAGCGUGGGGAGCAAACAGGAUUAGAUACCCCUGUAGUC